This 240-nucleotide long non-coding RNA is filed under the name Nicotiana benthamiana. Its description in RNAcentral is "long non-coding RNA (NBEN_LNC041209)". The record is from RNAcentral. Lineage: Eukaryota; Viridiplantae; Streptophyta; Magnoliopsida; Solanales; Solanaceae.
CAAAAGGUGCAAGAUAGAUAACAACAAAAUAGACCACAAUCGAACUGAAAGCUAAAAUAUGUAAGAAGUUACACAAAGUAAACAAGGGGGCGGGAGGUACCAAUUCCCGGUAGAAAAACCUGAAAGUAUGCUUUGAUGCGCCCAAUUUCUCCUGAAGCUUAUCAGAACGUGUGGUUCUAUUGCGUCCUGCUGCUAGUCUGAACGGUAGUCUCCGAGGCUGCUGUGGCUUGUCUGAAAAUC